RNAcentral lists this long non-coding RNA (1567 nucleotides) under Homo sapiens (human). The record is from RNAcentral. Lineage: Eukaryota; Metazoa; Chordata; Mammalia; Primates; Hominidae.
UCUUUUAUUUUCUUUUGAGCGAUUGUGCGAACAUAGCAUAGCACGCACUAUGCCUUCUGUGUUGUAGCUGCCUGGCCAGGGCGACUGGCGGAUAAGGUCUUGUGCGUGGCCUCGAGGCUUAAAAGUAGCAGUGGGGCUUUGUGAAGGACAAAAUGGCGAUGGCGGGCCGUGUAGGUCCCCCUUCCUAUGAUGAGGACCUUUUCACAGACCUGUACUGAGCUCCGUGAGGAUAAAUAACUCUGAGGAGAUGGGCCCUGCAAGCCUCUUGCUUAGCCGUCUGUUCAGAAAAUAGCGUUUUCGAAAUGCCCUGAGUUGACCUAAUGUCUUAUUGGGCUCCUGUCUGCAGGAUUUACGCGCACGUUGGAACCGAAGAGAGCUCUGUUGUUGCAAUGUUCAGCCCACAAGAGCUUACUGGUGAAGGAAUGGGACAAGACCCAUCUUUAUGCAAAGCCAGCGUUACAGUAAUGUUCCAGCAUCUCAUAAUCUAUCCUGGGGAAUUCAGCUGCCUCCCAGGGUGAAUACAGGUAUUCCUGAUGACAGUCUGCCUCUAUCUUACAGAGCAGCUUGUUGCUAUAUACCAUUGAAAAGCCUUCAGAGCUGAGAGGUACUACUAACCAAUAACCUGCUUGGCUCAAAGGGCCAGCACCUUCUCUCUAAAGCCCAAGAGGAGUUUGAGGUAAAUGGCUUUGCAAUAGUUACCAUCAAUGGCUGCUAUAUAAAAUUUUCUGUGAUUUUUGUGUGUGAUAGCACUGUGGUCUGGGUGAAUGUACACAGACAUAACUGGCUUAACCCAAAGUCUUUGAUCUCCUGAACCACCAGUGAUGAAUUGCUGCUCACCAGUGAUGAGUUGAAUACCGCCCCAGUCUGAUCAAUGUGUGACUGAAAGGUAUUUUCUGAGCUGUGAGCCUGCCUUCCAGUGACAUGUUCUAAAAAUUGCAAGUUAUUUGAGGAGGCUUUACAGCCAAUAGGAAGUUCUUGGGCUAAGUAGUGUUUCCUAUAAAAUGUGCCCUGAAACUUCUUUCUGCCAAGCAAUAGAUACAAUUGAGAGAUUGUAAAAUGUGACAUAGAAUGAAAGUCUCUCAAGACUACAUUUUUCUUUCUUGAUUUUGCAGGAAAACUAGGUGUCUGUGUUCACUCCAGGCUGAAGUUACAGGUCUGAGCAAAUAAGGUGUAUAAAAAAUGGAAUCUGUCUUGGAGGACAUCAGAAGGUGAAUUUUCCAAGUUCUUGGACAACCUAGCUGUUGAAAAGCUUUCUGGGUUUGGGGGGUAUUUCAGAUGUACCUUAAAGUGUUAGCAGACACAGAUUAAGACACUGGGAGCCAAUGAAACAGCAGUUGAGGGUUUGCUGUGUAUCACAUUUCUGUAUUUUAUCACCCCCUUCCUGCAACAUUAUUUAUCUGGAAUCUACCUGCCCUUUUGUUUUUUAGAUACAAGGGCUUGGUUUUGUUACCCAGGCUGGUUUCAAGGCCAUAGCUUUAAGAGAUCCUCUCACCACAGAUUUCCAAAGUGCUGGGAUUGCAGGUGUGAUUCAUGGCACCCAGACUUUGCUGCCUUUCUUACAUGAUCC